UACAUACAAAUAAACUUGGUCUGC
Molecule: non-coding RNA, 24 nt
Filed under: Arabidopsis thaliana (thale cress)
Lineage: Eukaryota; Viridiplantae; Streptophyta; Magnoliopsida; Brassicales; Brassicaceae
Source: RNAcentral